This 342-nucleotide ribosomal RNA is filed under the name Triticum aestivum (bread wheat). RNAcentral describes it as "partial small subunit ribosomal RNA". The record is from RNAcentral. Lineage: Eukaryota; Viridiplantae; Streptophyta; Magnoliopsida; Poales; Poaceae.
AUGGGGGUGUUGCACCCGGAGCUGGUCAUGAAGUCCAUCGUGCCCGUUGUCAUGGCGGGGGCGCUCAAGAUCUACGCCCUCAUCACCGCAGUCAUCAUCUCCACUGGGAUCAACCCCAGGGUCAAGCCCUACUUCCUCUUCUAUGGUUACACGCACCUCUCCUGCGGCCUUGCUGGCGGCAUGGCCAUCGGCAUCGUCGGUGACGCUAGUGGCAAGGCACAUGUCUUCUCGGGGCUAUCGUCGCCAUUGCUUCCCCUGCAUAUGCCUGCAUCAAAGCAAUCCAAGCCACCCUUUCCCAGCAAGUUUGGUGCUUUCGAAGCUGCCAACAAUUAUUGUGAUUGA